This 715-nucleotide ribosomal RNA is filed under the name uncultured fungus. RNAcentral's name for it is "eukaryotic LSU rRNA". The stretch from base 315 to 468 matches the Rfam family "5.8S ribosomal RNA". Lineage: Eukaryota; Fungi. The record is from RNAcentral.
AAGUCGUAACAAAGGUUUCCGUAGGUGAACCUGCGGAAGGAUCAUUAUUGAAUACGAUUGGUACUGAUGCUGGCUCUUCACUGGGCAUGUGCUCGUCCAUCUUAUUAUCUUCUCUUGUGCACAUUUUGUAGUCUUGAAGAACUCCGCGCAUUCAUUUGUUGCGGGCUGGGAGAUGCUAACCCUUCUCUCGUUGCCUUUGUGCAAGCCUUGGGGGUUGUUAACCCUUCCCCCGCUUCUUCAAGACUAUGUUUUCAUAUACCCUAUAAAGUUACAGAAUGUCUUUUAACGACUGCUUGCAGUCAUUAAACCUAUACAACUUUCAGCAACGGAUCUCUUGGCUCUCCUAUCGAUGAAGAACGCAGCGAAAUGCGAUAAGUAAUGUGAAUUGCAGAAUUCAGUGAAUCAUCGAAUCUUUGAACGCACCUUGCGCCCUUUGGUAUUCCGAAGGGCAUGCCUGUUUGAGUGUCAUUAAAUUAUCAACCUUGCUCGCUUUUACUAGCUUGAGUUAGGCUUGGAUGUGAGGGUUUUGCUGGCUUUCGUGGUCUGCUCCCUUUAAAUGCAUUAGUGGGAUCUAUUGUGGACCGUCACUUGGUGUGAUAAUUAUCUAUGCCUUGGGACUUUGAAACAAACUUAUUAGAAUCCGCUCAUAACCGUCCUCACGGACAACUAUUGACAAUUUGACCUCAAAUCAGGUAGGACUACCCGCUGAACUUAA